This 354-nucleotide ribosomal RNA is filed under the name uncultured Enterobacteriaceae bacterium. RNAcentral's name for it is "bacterial SSU rRNA". It matches the Rfam family "Bacterial small subunit ribosomal RNA", at positions 1029 to 1382 of the family's 1533-position model. The record is from RNAcentral. Lineage: Bacteria; Pseudomonadati; Pseudomonadota; Gammaproteobacteria; Enterobacterales; Enterobacteriaceae.
UCUGAGCAGGUGCUGCAUGGCUGUCGUCAGCUCGUGUUGUGAAAUGUUGGGUUAAGUCCCGCAACGAGCGCAACCCUUAUCCUUUGUUGCCAGCGAGUAAUGUCGGGAACUCAAAGGAGGCUGCCGGUGAUAAACCGGAGGAAGGUGGGGAUGACGUCAAGUCAUCAUGGCCCUUACGAGUAGGGCUACACACGUGCUACAAUGGCAUAUACAAAGAGAAGCGAACUCGCGAGAGCAAGCGGACCUCAUAAAGUAUGUCGUAGUCCGGAUUGGAGUCUGCAACUCGACUCCAUGAAGUCGGAAUCGCUAGUAAUCGUAGAUCAGAAUGCUACGGUGAAUACGUUCCCGGGCCUU